Molecule: long non-coding RNA, 320 nt
Organism: Haliotis rubra (blacklip abalone)
Lineage: Eukaryota; Metazoa; Mollusca; Gastropoda; Lepetellida; Haliotidae
Exons: 3
Source: RefSeq, a predicted model, not a curated record
CACACUGAAUCGUCAAAAAACCACUCUAACCAAGUGCUGUUAUGCUAACCAUCAUAACACAAUAUUGUAACCAGUAGAUAUGACAUGCUGCAUCACAACACAACACUGUUACCAAUAGGAAUGACAUGUUGCAUCGUAACACAACAUUGUAACAAUAGGUAUUACAUGUUGCAUUGUAAACAAUGGGUAUGACAUGCUGUAUCGUAACACAUUGUAACCAAUAGGUAUGACAUGCUGCAUCAUAACACAACAGUGUUACCAGUAGGUAUGACAUGCUGCAUCGUAACACAACAUUGUAACAAAUAGGUAUGACAUGCUGC